AGAGUUUGAUCCUGGCUCAGGACUAACGCUGGCGGCGUGCCUAACACAUGCAAGUCGAACGAAGGUAGCAAUACCUUAGUGGCAGACGGGUGAGUAACACGUAGUCAACCUUCCUUUUAGUGGGGGAUAACUAGCCGAAAGGUUAGCUAAUACCGCAUACGAUCUUCGAGCGGCAUCGCUUGGAGAUGAAAGGAGCAAUC
Molecule: ribosomal RNA, 200 nt
Filed under: uncultured bacterium
Lineage: Bacteria
Description: partial 16S ribosomal RNA
Rfam family: Bacterial small subunit ribosomal RNA
Source: RNAcentral